RNAcentral lists this ribosomal RNA (606 nucleotides) under uncultured bacterium. Its description in RNAcentral is "bacterial SSU rRNA". It matches the Rfam family "Bacterial small subunit ribosomal RNA", at positions 338 to 946 of the family's 1533-position model. The record is from RNAcentral.
CCUACGGGAGGCAGCAGUGAGGAAUAUUGGUCAAUGGACGCAAGUCUGAACCAGCCAUGCCGCGUGCAGGAAGACGGUCCUAUGGAUUGUAAACUGCUUUUGUACGGGAAGAAACACUCCUACGUGUAGGAGCCUGACGGUACCGUAAGAAUAAGGAUCGGCUAACUCCGUGCCAGCAGCCGCGGUAAUACGGAGGAUCCAAGCGUUAUCCGGAAUCAUUGGGUUUAAAGGGUCCGUAGGCGGUUUAAUAAGUCAGUGGUGAAAUCUGGUCGCUCAACGAUCAAACUGCCAUUGAUACUGUUAGACUUGAAUUACUGUGAAGUAACUAGAAUAUGUAGUGUAGCGGUGAAAUGCUUAGAUAUUACAUGGAAUACCAAUUGCGAAGGCAGGUUACUAACAGUUGAUUGACGCUGAUGGACGAAAGCGUGGGGAGCGAACAGGAUUAGAUACCCUGGUAGUCCACGCCGUAAACGAUGGAUACUAGUUGUUUGGAUUUAUCUGAGUGACUAAGCGAAAGUGAUAAGUAUCCACCUGGGGAGUACGAACGCAAGUUUGAAACUUCAAAUGAAUUGACGGNNGNGNGNGCGAGACGACGACGAGGAGAGG